This is a long non-coding RNA of Sarcophilus harrisii (Tasmanian devil), 526 nucleotides long. RefSeq lists it as uncharacterized. The record is from RefSeq and is a predicted model, not a curated record. Lineage: Eukaryota; Metazoa; Chordata; Mammalia; Dasyuromorphia; Dasyuridae. The transcript has 3 exons.
CUCCUGCUUUUUCCCCAGGUUUCCUGGUGAACCUAAUGUUAUUUUAUUUAUCACAACAUAUGAAUAAAUGAAGAAGGGGAUUCUUGUUCCAAGAACUUCAAGUUCAAGCAUUCCAUUUUCACCUUCAACCUACAAAGGAAAUCUCCAAUAGCACUUUUAAACAAGAGGAAUAAUAAAAAUUGUGGUGGGUUAGAAAAUGGUUCAAUGGUGAAGAAAUGAGGUUUGUUAAACAGGAUGGAACUUGAUGAUGGAUCAUAAGAGAAACUUCAAAAGGAAAUGCAACUUUACUAGGAGACAGAAAGCAAAACAGUACCAUGUUGAUGACCAGUGAACAUCUGAACUGGAAAAACAAAAAUAAGAACAGGAAAUGAAAAAGAAACUGAAAGAGCCACUAAUACUGUGUAUGUCAACAGAGGGAAAAUCGAUCUGCAGCAUAAUUCACCAAAUGAGCAAAGCCAGGACCUAGAAAAGCUAAAAUGGAACAACGAAUCUAUCCCUUCUCAUUUUGGGGAAGAUUCUCCUGCAG